UCCCGGUUGGCCCGGGCAGUCUCGCAUGAAAAAUACAACAUACGAUAAGGGUUGCGCUCGUUGCGGGACUUAACCCAACAUCUCACGACACGAGCUGACGACGGCCAUGCAGCACCUGUCACUAGGCUCCCGAAGGCACCCCCCGAUUUCUCAGGGGUUCCUAGGAUGUCAAGCCUUGGUAAGGUUCUUCGCGUAGCUUCGAAUUAAACCACAUCAUCCACCGCUUGUGCGGGUCCCCGUCAAUUCCUUUGAGUUUUAAGCUUGCGCUCGUACUCCCCAGGCGGCACACUUAUCGCGUUAGCUUCGCAGCGCAGGGGGUCGAUACCCCACACUACUAGUGUGCAUCGUUUACGGCGUGGACUAC
This 364-nucleotide unclassified non-coding RNA is filed under the name uncultured bacterium. RNAcentral describes it as "contains 16S-23S intergenic spacer region". The record is from RNAcentral.